UAGCUCUGUAUCUGCGAAAUUAUUGUGUUUGAUGAAGAAUGAGAAAUCAGUUCUAUAGCUGAUGGUGAUCGGUGAUCAGCUCAAGAGUAGAGUGGAGCCUGCAAAAUAUAUAUGAACUGUAAAAGUUGAUCAGGCCNNNNNNNNNGCUUCGAGAUGGUGAUGAAAGAGAAAGAUGAAGAGCUCGCGCUUUUUCUUGAGAUGCGGAGAAGGGAGAAGGAGAAGGAGAGAAAUAACCUCCUUCUAAACAACUCCUCUGAUGGGCAUAAUGCCUCUUUUGGAACCAAUAAUCCUAGGGGUUCACCCAUAUCGAAAGUAAUUUCCUCUGUGCCACCCCGAAAGACUGCUGCUGAUAAAUUUUUGGAUUCAGAGAACGACAAAUCUGAUUAUGAUUGGCUUCUUACACCACCUGAGACCC
This 415-nucleotide unclassified non-coding RNA is filed under the name Hevea brasiliensis (rubber tree). Lineage: Eukaryota; Viridiplantae; Streptophyta; Magnoliopsida; Malpighiales; Euphorbiaceae. The record is from RNAcentral.